This 759-nucleotide ribosomal RNA is filed under the name uncultured Prevotella sp. Its description in RNAcentral is "bacterial SSU rRNA". It matches the Rfam family "Bacterial small subunit ribosomal RNA", at positions 28 to 776 of the family's 1533-position model. The record is from RNAcentral. Lineage: Bacteria; Pseudomonadati; Bacteroidota; Bacteroidia; Bacteroidales; Prevotellaceae.
GAUGAACGCUAGCUACAGGCUUAACACAUGCAAGUCGCGGGGCAGCAUGGGGGUUGCUUGCAAUCCCUGAUGGCGACCGGCGCACGGGUGAGUAACGCGUAUCCAACCUGCCCUUCACCACGGGAUAACCCGGCGAAAGUCGGACUAAUACCGUAUGUUGUCCAUUGACGGCAUCCGAUUUGGACGAAAGGCUUAGCGGUGAGGGAUGGGGAUGCGUCCGAUUAGCUCGACGGCGGGGUAACGGCCCACCGUGGCAACGAUCGGUAGGGGUUCUGAGAGGAAGGUCCCCCACACUGGAACUGAGACACGGUCCAGACUCCUACGGGAGGCAGCAGUGAGGAAUAUUGGUCAAUGGGCGGAAGCCUGAACCAGCCAAGUAGCGUGCAGGAUGACGGCCCUAUGGGUUGUAAACUGCUUUUAUGCGGGGAUAAAGGGGCCCACGUGUGGGCUUUUGCAGGUACCGCAUGAAUAAGGACCGGCUAAUUCCGUGCCAGCAGCCGCGGUAAUACGGAAGGUCCGGGCGUUAUCCGGAUUUAUUGGGUUUAAAGGGAGCGUAGGCCGCCCCUUAAGCGUGUUGUGAAAUGCGGGUGCUCAACAUCCGACUUGCAGCGCGAACUGGGGGGCUUGAGUGCGCCGAAAGUAGGCGGAAUUCGUGGUGUAGCGGUGAAAUGCUUAGAUAUCACGAAGAACUCCGAUUGCGAAGGCAGCUUACUGUAGCGCAACUGACGCUGAUGCUCGAAAGCGUGGGUAUCGAACAGG